AGGGCUGCGGCUCAGUGGUAAAGCCUUUGCUUGGAAUGCAGAAAGUCCCCGGUUCAAUCCCCGGUAACUCCA
This 72-nucleotide transfer RNA is filed under the name Sphaerodactylus townsendi. Its description in RNAcentral is "tRNA-Ser". It matches the Rfam family "tRNA". From Rfam's summary of the family: Transfer RNA (tRNA) molecules are approximately 80 nucleotides in length. Their secondary structure includes four short double-helical elements and three loops (D, anti-codon, and T loops). The record is from RNAcentral. Lineage: Eukaryota; Metazoa; Chordata; Lepidosauria; Squamata; Sphaerodactylidae.